GCCAUGCUUCGGCACGAAUGAGCCGGCUCGACCGGAGUGAUACCACGGCGUCACAGAAAACCGACGUGAAACAACGCUUGCGUUGUGUUUCGUUGUGUGAGUGAGGUUACCGGAGCCCCAAUUACCUCCCUUCCCAAUCUUCCUAAUCCCCGAUUACCCCUUCCCAAUCUUCCCAAUCCCCGAUUCCCGAACAACAAAAUUUCCUAACUGCCAAAAGGCCGGCAACGCACUUGUAACGCCUCUGGUGUUGCAAAUGUCCAUGGGCGGCGGCGAUUGCUUACCAUCAAGUGAUCCGUCUGCUCGUUUAUAUAUCAUAAAAAGCUGCUUGUCUAGGGUGCUGUCUAGGUUUAAUCUCUUCUUGAUACAUGAAACCUAAAUAGAAUUAAGUACUUCGUCAAACAGUGAAUGUAUGCCGUAAAACAUAAUUAUUUAUAUAGAAGUACCCUUAGUAUUAGUUUGCUUUACGUUUAAAGUAAUCGAAACGAGAGCGCGUUCGGCGAUCUGAGGCCUUAGUACGAGUUUGUUUUACGAAACCAGAGCGAGUAUGGCGCUCUGAUUGGUUGGUUUAUUCGCACCAACCAAUCAGAGCGCCGAACGCUCUAUCAUUUCGUUUUCGUUCAACGAAGAGCAAACUCGUGCUAAGGGUACAGACAUUUUGUAUAACCGAACGAUGAGAUUUUUUUUUGAAACAAAGUAAAACCAUUGAAAUCUUUGUGAAUUUGGUUUGAUUUUGCACGACUUGUAUAUUAUAUGGGAAGUUUUGUAUGUGUAAAAGAUAAUAUAUGAAACUUUUAUAAAUAAAGAACUUAAAUAUAA
Molecule: long non-coding RNA, 816 nt
Organism: Spodoptera frugiperda (fall armyworm)
Lineage: Eukaryota; Metazoa; Arthropoda; Insecta; Lepidoptera; Noctuidae
Exons: 2
Source: RefSeq, a predicted model, not a curated record